Long non-coding RNA from Scylla paramamosain (green mud crab), 1609 nucleotides. RefSeq lists it as uncharacterized. The transcript has 11 exons. Lineage: Eukaryota; Metazoa; Arthropoda; Malacostraca; Decapoda; Portunidae. The record is from RefSeq and is a predicted model, not a curated record.
AAUAAGGAAAAUGUGUGUUGUUAAUCCUGCACUUACUUCCACAGAAUUAUGACGUCUGACAUACAGCAAGAGUGAAGUGAUUUUCAAGUUCCUAUAAAUGUGAUGUGCUGUAAAGAGAGAUGUGCAGUGAAAGUCAGUCAUUGGAAAGGAGUGUGCCAUCCAGCAUUGCAGUGAACAUCCAGAUUGCACCAUUUUCACUUAGAAUUAUGAUGUCUGGCAAACAGCAAGAGUGGAGUGAUUUUUCAAGUUCCUUUAAAUGUGAUGUGCUGUAAAGAGAGAUGUGCAGUGAAAGUCAGUCAUUGGAAAGGAGUGUGCCAUCCAGCAUUGCAGUGAACAUCCAGAUUGCACCAUUUUCACUUAGAAUUAUGAUGUCUGGCAAACAGCAAGAGUGGAGUGAUUUUUCAAGUUCCUUUAAAUGUGAUGUGCUGUAAAGAGAGAUGCACAGUGAAAGUCAGUCAUUGGAAAGAUGGAGCUGCUGCACCUGCUGUGGAGACUGGAGUACAAGAGUUGUGAAUGCAGUAGGCCUUACACCUCAAGUUAAUGGAGCUGUUGCACCUGCUGUGGAGAUUGGAGUACAAGAGUCAUGGAUGCAGCAGGCCUUAUACCUCAGGCUGUGAUUACACCAAAGUGUGAUUUAGAAGAAAGUUACCAACAUCCCCAUAUACCCUGCAAGCUGGAAAGGCCAUGGGGAAUCUCCAGCCAGAUUGCCUUUACCUCAUUAAGCAUCUUUAUUAGAAACAUAUAGAAAAACAUGGAAGCCAAAUCAUCAGUCACAUAAUCAAUUCAGCCAUGAUGGUAUCCAGCACAUCUCAUUGAGUACAAGCAGGUACAUAUAUCAUACCAUAUAUAAAAAAAAUUUGGACAAAUUUAGAAGUUGGUGAUUGUCUUUGCAUUUUGGCUGAUCACUAGCAUAGAGCAACUCUCACCCUACACUGAGCAGGCACCCAUUGCCCUUGCCUCACUCUCACUCCUGAGAUCUGGCAGUGACACUGGUAGGUCCUCACACCUUCCUCUAAUGCAUGAGAGUUGAUUUUGGUAGUCCAAGACUGGCCCAUGUGUUCAUGGAAGGAAGGCCUAGGAUGCCCCUUCAGCUUAUUAUGAAGGACGAGAAGACUGGAGGGUUACUAGUAAGGACCUCCAUAUUGGGCGAGUUGUAAUUCAUCACUUUACGGGCAUGUGUGACGUCCAGGCUGCCAGCCAUCGCAUCCACCACAACCUGGAAAUUGAUCACAUGACUGUUUUCCUCUCCAGUAGAUGAUGUCAGGGUACCUAACACCAGCAACAUUAGGCACUGCUGGCUUAUGACUGGUGUGGUACCUAUGCUGCUGAAGGGAGGAGACAUUUUUUCAAAAGGCCAUUUUGCCUUGCCAAACAUGCAUCUGGGGUUCCUGGGUACUGCUGGAGGAUGUGCCCCAGGGUCUCUGGCCUGCUGCCACAACACAAGUCACAGUUGACCGUAUCCCUUUGGUGCCCUUUUAGAUCAGCAUUUGUGGUUGGUGUACCUGAUGAAAGUGUAGCUUACUUUAUUAAGUUUGGAAUAUUUAUAACUACAACACAUGUAAGUGUGAAUUUAUUUUUGUGUAAUUUUGAAAUAAAUAUAUUAGCACAA